AAGUCGUAACAAGGUUUCCGUAGGUGAACCUGCGGAAGGAUCAUUACCUAGAGUUGUAGGCUUUGCCUGCUAUCUCUUACCCAUGUCUUUUAAGUACCUUCGUUUCCUCGGCGGGUUCGCCCGCCGAUUGGACAAUUUAAACCAUUUGCAGUUGCAAUCAGCGUCUGAAAAAACAUAAUAGUUACAACUUUCAACAACGGAUCUCUUGGUUCUG
Molecule: unclassified non-coding RNA, 214 nt
Filed under: Didymella rumicicola
Lineage: Eukaryota; Fungi; Ascomycota; Dothideomycetes; Pleosporales; Didymellaceae
Description: partial internal transcribed spacer region
Rfam family: Eukaryotic small subunit ribosomal RNA (bases 1-46)
Source: RNAcentral